GACGAACGCUGGCGGCGUGCUUAACACAUGCAAGUCGAACGGAAAGGCCCUGCUUUUGUGGGGUGCUCGAGUGGCGAACGGGUGAGUAACACGUGAGUAACCUGCCCUUGACUUUGGGAUAACUUCAGGAAACUGGGGCUAAUACCGGAUAGGAGCUCCUGCUGCAUGGUGGGGGUUGGAAAGUUUCGGCGGUUGGGGAUGGACUCGCGGCUUAUCAGCUUGUUGGUGGGGUAGUGGCUUACCAAGGCUUUGACGGGUAGCCGGCCUGAGAGGGUGACCGGCCACAUUGGGACUGAGAUACGGCACAGACUCCUACGGGAGGCAGCAGUGGGGAAUAUUGCACAAGGGGCGGAAGCCUGAUGCAGCAACGCAGCGUGCGGGAUGACGGCCUUCGGGUUGUAAACCGAUUUCGCCUGUGACGAAGCGUGAGUGACGGUAAUGGGUAAAGAAGCACCGGCUAACUACGUG
This 468-nucleotide ribosomal RNA is filed under the name uncultured bacterium. RNAcentral describes it as "partial 16S ribosomal RNA". It matches the Rfam family "Bacterial small subunit ribosomal RNA", at positions 28 to 507 of the family's 1533-position model. The record is from RNAcentral.